AGCAGGAUGGGCUGGUCAGUGGGAUAGCCUCUGUGCACAUUUUGUGGCAAGUAGGAGUGACACAUCAUUCCUGGGAGGCCCCGUGGUUCCUGCCAAACCCAACCCCAGAAUUCUCCCUGAGGUGGUUUUACCAAACCCAUAACCCAGAACUGCUAUUGUGGUUUGGAGGUCAGCACCCACCAGUGCCAGGGCACUACUGGGAGGCUGGGACCUGACCAAAGCCCAUGGUGUCUGUGGCCUGAGGACAGGGUGUCUUGGGGCCAUGAGGACAGGCCACCAAUGGCCGUUGGGUCAUAGGGCCUGAGCCCCAGUGUUUGUCCUUCCCUGGCUCCUUCUGGUUCAGUCCCAUCAGGGCUCUGGAUCCCAAGACGCAGCAUCCAAGGUUCCCUCCAGGAAUCCUGGUGGCUCGGCUUACUUUGUCAUGUUUCAUCUGAUAGCAAAAAUAUCAGAUCGGCUGCACAGAAAAAUGGCUCAAAGUGCUUAAUGACCAGAAGAAAUCUGGGAGCAGCAAGAAGAGGUCUCAGGUGCUCUACAAGGGAGUCCCAUUUCAGGUGUGGGGCUGGGUAUGGUCACUCCUGCUGGAUGUCUAGAAGGUGAAAACCAAGGACCUAGGAAAAUACCAGAUACAGCCUUUCCACCGUCAUCCAGAGCAGGACAAACACGCCAGGUGGUGUCAGGAGCCCAGGUCUCCAGCUGGAGGGAAUGUCAACCCUGCAGUGGGAGCCCAUCAUGCAUCCUAGGCACAGAUGCUAACGUAGGCACCGCAGAAGCACUGCUGACUGUUUGGUGGUUGCUGUUAGGGCAGUGAGCCUUUUGUCCAUUCUGAGAUUGGGCUGGUUUCUCCUCUUGGCCCUGGCCUACAGACCAUAAAGGAAAACAGCAAGAGGUCCCCAGCAAACAUCUACAGAUGGCCCUGGACAUCAGCCACAUUCAGAGAAACGUGUCAUGUUCUGGGAGGGCUAAGGCAUCGAGAAUCCCAGUGAAUAUAUUGCCACCAUCUUGGAGCUCAGUGCCCUCAUAGUGUAACAGCACCAGCAGAUCUGCCUGUGCACAGACUUCCUGUACUACCUCACUCCUGAGGGGAGAUGCUUCUGCAGGGCCUGCGACCUGGUGCACAACUUUAGACACCAUCAUCCUGGAGCGGCACUGCACCCUCACUAGCCAGGGUGUUGAUGACUUCCUCAAUGCCAAGGCCACGUUCAAGAUUUUCGACUUCAGUGAUGCGUUUGUGCUGAGCAAGCCGUUUUGCACACCCUGGUCAGAAUGAAACAUUCCUUGGGAACUCGGGCCGUGAGAAGCAUCCUUCCUGAUCACCUGACUGUAGAAACAUCCUUAUCGCACCCUCCCGGGCAAAGGCCCAACAGCCUGACUGCAGGAACAUCCUUGCCAUAUCCUGCCGGGCAGCAAGCUCUACCGCCCACACCCCUCCUUCCCAGUCCCAUGAUCACCCCAGCCUGUGAGAGGCAGUUGGUGCUGGCAGUAAGCUGGUUUCCUCCUCUGCAGGGUUUUGCUAGUAAUAAAGGUGUUGCUGUUGAAGCCGU
RNAcentral lists this long non-coding RNA (1541 nucleotides) under Homo sapiens (human). Its description in RNAcentral is "novel transcript". Lineage: Eukaryota; Metazoa; Chordata; Mammalia; Primates; Hominidae. The record is from RNAcentral.